GUGCUCGUUUCAGCAGCACAUAUACUAAAACUGGAUACAGAGAAGAUUAGCAUGGCCCCUGUGCAAGGAUGACACACAAAUUCAUGAAGCAUUCCAUAUUUUU
Molecule: small nuclear RNA, 103 nt
Organism: Loxodonta africana (African savanna elephant)
Lineage: Eukaryota; Metazoa; Chordata; Mammalia; Proboscidea; Elephantidae
Source: Ensembl